RNAcentral lists this ribosomal RNA (227 nucleotides) under uncultured bacterium. Its description in RNAcentral is "partial 16S ribosomal RNA". It matches the Rfam family "Bacterial small subunit ribosomal RNA", at positions 57 to 305 of the family's 1533-position model. The record is from RNAcentral.
GCAAGUCGAGCGCACUCUUCGGGGGAGCGGCGGACGGGUGAGUAACGCGUGGGAAUCUACCCUAUGGUGGAGGAUAACCCCGGGAAACCGGGGCUAAUACUGCAUAUGGUCUACGGAUCAAAGACUUCGGUCGCCAAAGGAUGAGCCCGCGUCCCAUUAUUUAAUCCUGGUUGGUGGGGUAACGGCCUACCAAGGGUACGAUGGGUAGCUGGUCUGAGAGGACGAUC